RNAcentral lists this transfer RNA (73 nucleotides) under Caudoviricetes sp. Its description in RNAcentral is "tRNA-Met". It matches the Rfam family "tRNA". From Rfam's summary of the family: Transfer RNA (tRNA) molecules are approximately 80 nucleotides in length. Lineage: Duplodnaviria; Heunggongvirae; Uroviricota; Caudoviricetes. The record is from RNAcentral.
GUUCCUUUAGCUCAUUUGGUAGAGCAUCCCGCUCAUAACGGGACGGUGCAGGGUUCGAAUCCCUGAAGGAACA